AGAGUUUGAUCAUGGCUCAGAACGAACGCUGGCGGCAGGCUUAACACAUGCAAGUCGAACGGUUGUAGCAAUACAGCAGUGGCAGACGGGUGAGUAACACGUGGGAACCUUCCUAGGGGUACGGAACAACUCAGGGAAACUUGAGCUAAUACCGUAUACGUCCGUGAGGAGAAAGAUUUAUCGCCCCUAGACGGGCCCGCGUAGGAUUAGGUAGUUGGUGAGGUAACGGCUCACCAAGCCUACGAUCCUUAGCUGAUCUGAGAGGAUGAUCAGCCACACUGGGACUGAGACACGGCCCAGACUCCUACGGGAGGCAGCAGUGGGGAAUCUUGGACAAUGGGCGCAAGCCUGAUCCAGCCAUGCCGCGUGAGUGAAGAAGGCCUUCGGGUUGUAAAGCUCUUUUACCAGGGACGAUAAUGACGGUACCUGAGAAU
This 434-nucleotide ribosomal RNA is filed under the name uncultured Fulvimarina sp. Its description in RNAcentral is "bacterial SSU rRNA". It matches the Rfam family "Bacterial small subunit ribosomal RNA", at positions 8 to 486 of the family's 1533-position model. The record is from RNAcentral. Lineage: Bacteria; Pseudomonadati; Pseudomonadota; Alphaproteobacteria; Hyphomicrobiales; Aurantimonadaceae.